Molecule: RNA transcript, 2093 nt
Organism: Pristis pectinata (smalltooth sawfish)
Lineage: Eukaryota; Metazoa; Chordata; Chondrichthyes; Rhinopristiformes; Pristidae
Gene: hoxb9a
Gene name: homeobox B9a
Exons: 3
Source: RefSeq, a predicted model, not a curated record
UUACAUAUAAUUUCCCAAUGAAUCGAGGUGUAUGAUGUUUAACAAUGUCGAUGUCUGGUGCUAUUAGUAACUAUUUUGUCGAUUCCCUUAUAAGUCAUGAUAGCGAAGCGACAGCUGCAACAAAGUUAACUUCGGGACAAUAUAUAGUCUCCAGACAGCCGGGGCUUAGCGAGCAUCCCGACUUCCCUGCUUGUAAUUUUCAGACGAAAUCUUCCGUGUUCGGCACCUCUUGGACCCCAGUGUACCCUCAGCCCUCAGCCAAUGUGUCCACCUUGUACCAUCCAUAUGUCCAGUCUCAUCCCAUCCCGCCUGAGAGCAGGUAUAUGCGGUCCUGGUUGGACACGACCCCCAGAGCCGUAGCCGUACAAGGGAUACCUUCCAGUGGUCACGAUUCAUUGAAAACAGAGCCCCUCGCGGGCCACGGCGGCCAAACCUUACCGGCGGCACUCCAAAAAUUGCACGGGGAAUCCUUGGAGGGCGAAGUCAUGAGCUCCGGGAAAGCGCCAUGCUAUGAAGACAGCUUAUAUGAAGAGAAAGGGGACAAAGAGGCAGCAGAACAAACCAAUCCUUCAGCAAAUUGGUUACACGCUCGCUCGACAAGGAAAAAAAGAUGUCCUUACAGCAAGUAUCAAACCCUGGAGUUGGAGAAAGAAUUUCUGUUCAACAUGUACCUCACCAGAGAGCGGAGGCACGAAGUGGCGCGUCUUCUGAACCUGACAGAAAGACAAGUCAAAAUCUGGUUUCAGAACAGGAGGAUGAAGAUGAAAAGACUCAGUAAAGAGCACGUAAAGGAAUUCGAGUGACGAGCUGUUUAGAUGAAACUUUAGCGCGUAGCCGGUUAUUGCUUUCACUGCAGUAUAUCCGUAAACCACUGUAGUUCAGAGAAAAUCACCACCCUUCCACAACAAAGAAUAGCUUGAAUGCAAGGUCUUAACAUCAAGCAAUUCGGCUAUUUAUUUCGAACAUUUUAGUGCAUUCAUUCAGGGAAUAGAGUCACGUGUAAAGGAUUUUAUUGCAGGAUAUUAAGAGAUACAACUUCCUCUCAUUCUCAAUCACACUAUUAGUCAGAAAGAUCAGCGAGCUUUUAUUCCUACUCUGUUCUCUUGUCUUGAGGGUUUUAAAAGAAACUUCAGGUUAUUUAUAAAUUAUUGCAAUUUCUGUGAAUCUUUUGGUGAUGGUCUUUGUGGCCGACCGCGCUGCAGAGCAACGAUUUGAGGGAAGGGUCUUUAACCUACGAUUGAUUUUAUAUAUAUUGUAAUCUUUUCUGUUUGCAGUGAUUUAACACGACUAACUAUCAAUUGUUUACAUGCAAAAGUGAAUGUUUAUAAUACAUUGUUAAACGCAUCAAAUUUGCGGUUGUUUUGUUAGUGUUUUUCCCCGACCCCCCCCCCCCGCCCCCCUCCAUCACUUUGGUUUGACGAUAUGCUUUCUUCCAAGGAAUUGUGAUUAUUAUUUAAACCGAAUGAUCAUGGACUUUACAAUCUCUAUUUCUGUAGACUUUAGUUUGUGUGUUUGGGUGAGUUUGGGCCUGUCGUGUUUUGGUUUAAUAUGCAUAACCAGACCCCCAAAGUUUAAAUGAGUAAUUGUCACGUUUAGCUGCCUGUAUCCUUUGUUAAGUAUUUGUAUAUCUCUGGGUAACUAUUACCACGUGGCUUUUAAAAUAAGGGUUUAGUACUUAGCACGACAAAUGUGGUCGAGAUGAAAAAUUAACGAUAUGUUAUGUAGGAUUUCGUAACAUUUAAGAAACAAAAUGCUGCAUGGGAAUAAUCUGACAAAGUUACCCGGAUUAUGGUUAUCCACCGAGAUGCAAUGAAGGAGACUGACAAAUGGUUCAGUUUAAAGAGAUAAACUGUGGUUUAAAAAAAACAUUCCAGAAGGCAACUUGUAAAUAUUUCUGCUUAUCUUUAUGUCUCUGUCCGGUGUGGAGCUGGUGUUUAUACUCGGACUUUUGUAGGUUUGUGCAGAUUUUACAUUUAAGGCCUUGCUCAUCACUGGUUCCAAACACGACUCCUUCUUUGGGCCUGAACCAGAAUCAUUAAAAUAGCCAGAAGCCAACAUGUUUAUAUUGGUCUAGUAAGUUUAAAAAACAUCUG